AUUGAACGCUGGCGGAAUGCUUUACACAUGCAAGUCGAGCGGCAGCGCGGGGCAACCUGGCGGCGAGCGGCGAACGGGUGAGUAAUACAUCGGAACGUGCCCAGACGUGGGGGAUAACUACUCGAAAGAGUGGCUAAUACCGCAUACGAUCUAAGGAUGAAAGCGGGGAUCGCAAGACCUCGCGCGUUUGGAGCGGCCGAUGGCAGAUUAGGUAGUUGGUGGGGUAAAGGCUUACCAAGCCCGCGAUCUGUAGCUGGUCUGAGAGGAUGAUCAGCCACACUGGGACUGAGACACGGCCCAGACUCCUACGGAGGCAGCAGUGGGGAAUUUUGGACAAUGGGCGAAAGCCUGAUCCAGCCAUUCCGCGUGCAGGAUG
RNAcentral lists this ribosomal RNA (376 nucleotides) under uncultured bacterium. Its description in RNAcentral is "bacterial SSU rRNA". It matches the Rfam family "Bacterial small subunit ribosomal RNA", at positions 30 to 410 of the family's 1533-position model. The record is from RNAcentral.